CCUUCCCACACGCCAACAGACACCAGGCAGUUCCCUUGCGCUAGUUAUCAGCACGCUGAUUGGUUGAAAUGUAAUUUCGUGAUUCAGAGUCCGAACCAGGAAGGGAAGGAAGGAACAACAUAUGCGGGACAAAACAGACAGGUGCGGGCCGCGCAGGGGGAGGAGGAGGUGUAUGAUUUCUGGGAGAGAAAAGGCUGACAUAGUUUUCCUUCAGGAGACCCACCUCACUGGUACACACUCUCGACUCCAAGCAAUGCUGAAGAGCACAGAUUUGCCACACUGCUUCAGUGUGAGCAGAGACGUUGCACCGACACCUGCACAGCCAAAACUGACCAGUUUAAUACCUGCUGAUUGAUACUGAGUGACCUGAGACCAUCCACAGCCUCCAGAGCAGCAAAUUGGCCUCCUCAGUCACAUGACCAAAAUCCAAGAUGGCGGCGCCCAUGUACUGAUGCCACAGUACUCCCACAGUUCCUGCGAGUUCCUAACAGCCUGCCGGCACCCGCCGACAGCAGCCCGCCCCGCUCUCAGAAGGACCCCGCCAUAAGGACUGGACGGGUAAGUUCCGACGCCCCCGGAGCACUGGUCCCUGGAGCGUGACACAGGAACUGGUGUAGAAGCAACUCCAUCAUCCUCUGAGAUAAAACAGCAACUGACUCCUGUGUGAUCAGCAAUGUGUUAUCUAGUUUUUUGGGGAGGGGACUUUCUCAUUCAUGAUGAGUCACUGGUUUGUUCAUGUGCUGAAGAGGUUAAGCCUUGGGGAUGUCUGAGGGGCUGGCCUGAGCUUCCUGUCCACUACCUGUUUGGAAUAUCUAUUGUUCUAAUAAAAGUGAUUUUAGCUUUUAUACAUUUAA
Pseudophryne corroboree (corroboree frog) is the source of this 854-nucleotide long non-coding RNA. RefSeq lists it as uncharacterized. The record is from RefSeq and is a predicted model, not a curated record. The transcript is spliced from 4 exons. Lineage: Eukaryota; Metazoa; Chordata; Amphibia; Anura; Myobatrachidae.